CCUACGGGCGGCAGCAGUGGGGAAUAUUGGACAAUGGGGGGAACCCUGAUCCAGCCAUGCCGCGUGUGUGAAGAAGGCCCUCGGGUUGUAAAGCACUUUCAGUGAGGAAGAACGCCUGGUGGUUAAUACCCAUCAGGAAAGACAUCACUCACAGAAGAAGCACCGGCUAACUCCGUGCCAGCAGCCGCGGUAAUACGGAGGGUGCGAGCGUUAAUCGGAAUUACUGGGCGUAAAGCGCGCGUAGGUGGCUUGAUAAGCCGGUUGUGAAAGCCCCGGGCUCAACCUGGGAACGGCAUCCGGAACUGUCAAGCUAGAGUGCAGGAGAGGAAGGUGGAAUUCCCGGUGUAGCGGUGAAAUGCGUAGAGAUCGGGAGGAAUACCAGUGGCGAAGGCGGCCUUCUGGACUGACACUGACACUGAGGUGCGAAAGCGUGGGUAGCAAACAGGAUUAGAUACCCCUGUAGUC
Molecule: ribosomal RNA, 465 nt
Filed under: Vreelandella stevensii
Lineage: Bacteria; Pseudomonadati; Pseudomonadota; Gammaproteobacteria; Oceanospirillales; Halomonadaceae
Description: partial 16S ribosomal RNA
Rfam family: Bacterial small subunit ribosomal RNA
Source: RNAcentral